RNAcentral lists this ribosomal RNA (164 nucleotides) under uncultured bacterium. RNAcentral's name for it is "partial 16S rRNA". It matches the Rfam family "Bacterial small subunit ribosomal RNA", at positions 355 to 511 of the family's 1533-position model. The record is from RNAcentral.
UAGGGAAUCUUCCACAAUGGACGAAAGCCUGAUGGAGCAACGCCGCGUGUGUGAUGAGGGGUUUCGGCUCGUAAAACACUGUUGUAAGAGAAGAAUGACAUUGAGAGUAACUGUUCAAUGUGUGACGGUAUCUUACCAGAAAGGAACGGCUAAAUACGUGCCAG